AUUUGGAUAACAUUGUCUUAGACUUGAAGGUACAGCAAGCAAAGGAUAUACCUCUUGACAAGUUAUUUGCUAAAGAUCAGAUCGAACAACUCACAGCUGAGGCUUGGUGUUCAGAAAAUAAACAAUUGGUGGAAAUGGUCGAAAAGAUGAGCAUAAAAAUGGGUGUAAUGAGUGAGUAUACUCAGAUGGUUAUAUAUCAGAAUGCAGAUAAAGUCAAUGAAUCAAUUAAAGUGCAACAGUUGAAGAAAAAUGCUUAUGAGAAAAU
This 265-nucleotide unclassified non-coding RNA is filed under the name Hevea brasiliensis (rubber tree). The record is from RNAcentral. Lineage: Eukaryota; Viridiplantae; Streptophyta; Magnoliopsida; Malpighiales; Euphorbiaceae.